AGCGAACGCUGGCGGCAGGCUUAACACAUGCAAGUCGAGCGGGCGUAUCAAUACGUCAGCGGCAGACGGGUGAGUAACGCGUGGGAACAUACCUUUUGGUUCGGAACAMCACAGGGAAACUUGUGCUAAUACCGGAUAAGCCCUUACGGGGAAAGAUUUAUCGCCGAAAGAUUGGCCCGCGUCUGAUUAGCUAGUUGGUAGGGUAAUGGCCUACCAAGGCGACGAUCAGUAGCUGGUCUGAGAGGAUGAUCAGCCACAUUGGGACUGAGACACGGCCCAAACUCCUACGGGAGGCAGCAGUGGGGAAUAUUGGACAAUGGGGGCAACCCUGAUCCAGCCAUGCCGCGUGAGUGAUGAAGGCCUUAGGGUUGUAAAGCUCUUUURUCCGGGAUGAUAAUGACGGU
This 404-nucleotide ribosomal RNA is filed under the name bacterium Ellin5045. RNAcentral's name for it is "bacterial SSU rRNA". It matches the Rfam family "Bacterial small subunit ribosomal RNA", at positions 29 to 458 of the family's 1533-position model. Lineage: Bacteria; Pseudomonadati; Pseudomonadota; Alphaproteobacteria; Hyphomicrobiales; Nitrobacteraceae. The record is from RNAcentral.